This 209-nucleotide unclassified non-coding RNA is filed under the name plant metagenome. RNAcentral describes it as "partial contains small subunit ribosomal RNA, internal transcribed spacer 1, and 5.8S ribosomal RNA". The record is from RNAcentral.
UCUCCGUUGGUGAACCAGCGGAGGGAUCAUUACUGGAAUCGCAAGAUCCCACAACCCUGUGAACCUACCGAAACGUUGCCUCGGCGGGUGCCCGGCCUCUGCGCCGGGCGCUGCGCCCGCCGGCGGCCCCCUACUCUGUCUCUGCAGCGUGGCAUCUCAGAGUCCCAGAAAACAAGUCAGAACUUUCAACAACGGAUCUCUUGGCUCUA